AUUUGUUUUGUUGAUGGUCAUCUAGUCUAAUCGUGCACUCUAAUCUGGGCAUAAAUACAUAUAUAUCUUGAUUAGAUUAGAUGAUCAUCAACAAACAUGUU
RNAcentral lists this microRNA precursor (101 nucleotides) under Ipomoea nil (Japanese morning glory). RNAcentral describes it as "MIR827 microRNA precursor family". It matches the Rfam family "MIR827 microRNA precursor family". Lineage: Eukaryota; Viridiplantae; Streptophyta; Magnoliopsida; Solanales; Convolvulaceae. The record is from Rfam by way of RNAcentral.